UCUAAUAUGGCAGAAUAGUGCAUUGGACUUAAACCCCAAUUAUAAAGAUUUUAAAUCUUUUUUUAGAA
This 68-nucleotide transfer RNA is filed under the name Scolytinae sp. BMNH 1274290. Its description in RNAcentral is "tRNA-Leu". It matches the Rfam family "tRNA". From Rfam's summary of the family: Transfer RNA (tRNA) molecules are approximately 80 nucleotides in length. The record is from RNAcentral. Lineage: Eukaryota; Metazoa; Arthropoda; Insecta; Coleoptera; Curculionidae.